CACUAUCCCCUCAUCAAGGUCAUUGAUGAAGAUGUUGGACAAGACCGGACCCAGCACCAACCACUGAGGAACACUACUGGUUACAGUGGCCCAUGACAAUUCCUCUUUACUCAGUGCAGCCCAGGCGAACCAGAAGGUAGGACACUCGCACUGUACACCACGUUCAGUGCAGCUGGUACCCUCAGGUCUAGGCUGCCUUUCUCUGCAGUGGUCCAUUUGCCUGGCUUGCAUGCCAAGCAAGAGAUUCCCUGAAGGGGAAACUUUUCAUCCCAGCUGCCAAGAGUUGUUUCUGCUACUGAUACAUCUUAUUUUGGAAUCCCCAUUUGGUAUCCUCCUUUAGCCCUGUUUCACACCACUGUUACAAUGAGAAAAAAUGUAGCCAAGGACAGAAGGAAAUGGGUUCAGCAAACAUUCAGCGCAGUGCGAAGCACUGAGGUGAGCAUUUCCAACCAUGGUGUGUAAAUAAAUGAUAAAAUACAAGCAAAUCUUAAACACAAGGACGACUUGAGUUUACAAAUAAAUGGUAUCCUUCACCCAUCAGGCAUCAGCUUUUUCAUCCUUAUCUCUCUGUAACAAGGUUUCUGAGCUCAGAAGGGAUUUUCCAUGUAGGGGCAGAUAUGUGAGGUGUCAAUGUGAGAACUUAUUAAAAAUAUACACAUUUUUUUAAUUGCGUUUGUGAACAUCUAAUACUCUGGAAGAAACACCUGAUGUUUAUGUGACUGUUAAAAGAAACACUGAAACUGAAGAAAUGAAUUCCCCGCUCCCAGCCAGGCUGCCAGGUGAGGUGAGAACACAGCUGAGGCGGUUCUGCCCUGAGAGAACGGACGGCAACGCCUGCGAGCUGCCUGUGACCUUCAGGUGACCCCGGCCGUGGCCUUCAGGUGACCCCGGCUCGGUCACCUUCAGCUGGAAAGAGCGGGAAGGAUGAGGUGAGGAAAAAAAGCGGCGGGAAGAGAAAACGGCGGGAAGAGAGAGAGGCGUUCUGAGCUCCUAUUGGCUGACGGGCGGCAGGGAAACCUAUAUAAGGCGCAUGGGCGGGAAGGUGAGCGACAGGUAUUUACCUCAGAGCACGAGAAGAAGCGGAGCGCUGCGAGGGAAGGACAGCAGGCGGAAUCCAAGCAGCGCCGAGACAGAGGUUUCAGGAUGUGCUGCCGAUGAUGGAAGAAGCGGUGUGGAGAACCGGGAGGCAGGAGCGAAGAUGAAGAGGCAGCAGAAGCCUGCAGAUGCGGGGGGGAAGGAGAGAGGCACCCUGGGCAAAGCAUCUCCCUGCUAGCAGGGGCAUAGUCGAAUUGGAGUUGAGCGUUGCCGGCACCUUGGGUGACCUGGCCGGCUUUGUGCUGGGCGACCUCCCUGUAAGCAGGGCUCCGGUCUUUGCUGUAGCUGUAGUUGGCCUUUUGCAACCUUGCUCCUUUGGCUGCCUGGGGAGCGUGGCCCCCUGUACGGAGGGCGAGAGCCACCUCUCCGCACCCGAGUGGGAAAUGGAGCUCGCUGGACCCCAGGGCCACUCUGUAAGCAGGGUAGUGCCUUUCCCUGCCCCUCCUCCUCCUCCGGCCCCGCAGUGCUGUUGCCUGCUGGUGGCCUGUCAAUGUGCCGGCCCUGUACUCGGGGUGUGUGUCACGGCGUUUGGCCUUUGUCCUUUCUUGAGUAGCCCCUUGGCACGUUGAGGUCUGUGGCCUCCAUGCAGCCCGGGAUGGGUCCCAGGCUCUUGUCUGUUGCUCGUAGGUGUGGGUUUAUUCCCAGGGAUUGGCUGUGCUGCGUUGUCCUUCCCUUCUGGAAAGUUGCAUCUGUGUGUGUGUUGCCCUUCCUUUCCUUGUUUGUGUUUGUGGAGUGACUGAGCACCUGUGCUUUCCCUUUAGGCCUCCUCAAAGAUUGCUGCAGCUUAGCUGUGACUUCCCAGGGGGGAAUGGAGGACUUUGGUGCAUGCCGCAUGA
Long non-coding RNA from Tympanuchus pallidicinctus (lesser prairie-chicken), 1931 nucleotides. RefSeq lists it as uncharacterized. NCBI's taxonomy places the organism in Eukaryota, Metazoa, Chordata, Aves, Galliformes, Phasianidae. The transcript is spliced from 2 exons. The record is from RefSeq and is a predicted model, not a curated record.